Non-coding RNA from Acanthosepion pharaonis, 94 nucleotides. NCBI's taxonomy places the organism in Eukaryota, Metazoa, Mollusca, Cephalopoda, Sepiida, Sepiidae. The record is from the annotation of a GenBank genome assembly.
AAUUCACCGGUUCUCGUACGAUCAUCGAAGUUAAACAACGUCGAGCCUCGUCAGUAUCUAGAUGGGUGACCGCUUCGGAAUACCAGGUGCUAUA